Molecule: ribosomal RNA, 548 nt
Filed under: uncultured bacterium
Lineage: Bacteria
Description: bacterial SSU rRNA
Rfam family: Bacterial small subunit ribosomal RNA
Source: RNAcentral
UGGGGAAUUUUGGACAAUGGGCGCAAGCCUGAUCCAGCCAUGCCGCGUGCGGGAAGAAGGCCUUCGGGUUGUAAACCGCUUUUGUCAGGGAAGAAAUCCUCUGGGCUAAUACCCCGGGGGGAUGACGGUACCUGAAGAAUAAGCACCGGCUAACUACGUGCCAGCAGCCGCGGUAAUACGUAGGGUGCGAGCGUUAAUCGGAAUUACUGGGCGUAAAGCGUGCGCAGGCGGUCUUGCAAGACAGGUGUGAAAUCCCCGGGCUUAACCUGGGAACUGCACUUGUGACUGCAAGGCUGGAGUACGGCAGAGGGGGAUGGAAUUCCGCGUGUAGCAGUGAAAUGCGUAGAUAUGCGGAGGAACACCGAUGGCGAAGGCAAUCCCCUGGGCCUGUACUGACGCUCAUGCACGAAAGCGUGGGGAGCAAACAGGAUUAGAUACCCUGGUAGUCCACGCCCUAAACGAUGUCAACUGGUUGUUGGACGGCUUGCUGUUCAGUAACGAAGCUAACGCGUGAAGUUGACCGCCUGGGGAGUACGGCCGCAAGGUUG